Molecule: long non-coding RNA, 1683 nt
Organism: Sus scrofa (pig)
Lineage: Eukaryota; Metazoa; Chordata; Mammalia; Artiodactyla; Suidae
Source: RefSeq, a predicted model, not a curated record
UUAACCCACUGAGCAAGGCCAGCUUCGAACCCAUAUCCUGAAGACUAUGUCGGGUUCUUAACCUGCUAAGCCACAACAGGAACUCCAAGGAGUUUUUAAGUAGGACGAAUGCUUUCUCUCUGAAUCCCAUUUCCAAACUGGGUCACUCGGGAAUCACAAGAUGUUAACUGUAAAAGUCCAGCCUCCAUGCUGCCCCACAGCCAUACACCAUGGGUCUGGGAAGCCCCCUAUAGGGCUUCAGCGUAUCUGAAAACCUUCUAGCUUUCCACCAACACCACAGCCUGAGGAUUUGGUGACUGGAGCCUCACCAUCCAGACAAUCCAAAUGAAUUAGCUUGCUAAUUGCUUGGGUGCACGUUCAAUGUCUCUUAGAUAGGCUUUCAUUUUUGUUAAUUGUGCAUGUGUUUCCAAUGAAAAUUCCAAAUGUGCGUUGGAGCCCUCCACCCUUUUAGGGAUGCUCACCAAUAGCUUCCAUAGACCCUGCGUGCAUGUGCUGACAUUCCAUGUGCAACACACACUGCCCAGACAUGCAUAUUGAUGCUGUGCCUCUGUGGGCAGUCUCCCCUCUCCCGCCAAGCCUCCUAUUUCCAUCUUCGCCUUCCUGGAAGCAGACUUGUCUAGGCUUGCCUAAGCCCAUCCCUGUGAUCCUAGGAUGAUGCGGGCUGCUAACACCCAGCGGCUCCCUGGUACCAUUCUGUUAAGCGUCAAGUCCCCUUCAAGGAAAUUAAACCCAAAGCCUCUGGCCAAGAAUUACCAGACCCUUAUCAUCACCCCGGGCAUCUCAUUGUAAUGCCCCUUCCCCUACCCUGAGCGAUGGGACCUAGCAGUCAGAACAAUGAGGAACUCUCCAGGGAAUAUUCCUAUCACCUGUUCCGCAUGCAAAUGAGGUAUCCCGCCCCAGACCAAUCAGAAGAUCAAAUAUGCUCCCGGCAAAGACCAAUCAACACUCAGCCCUUAUGCACCCGGAAGUGGGCGGGGGCAGGAAGAAUCAGGUCUCCACUCAGGUCCCCCAGCUCUGGGAUGCAAAACCCAAUUGUAAAGGGGGACGGGUGCCUACUUGAGGGGUGGCCCACUCUCCGAAAAUGUACUUUUAAUAAAUUUGCCUGAGAUCAUGCCCACUGUUUCAAUUCCUUCCUGUGGCGGGUGCAAAGGGUGCCACGGAGGAAACAAUGCAACCGCAAUAAUUCCAGACGUUAAGCUGGGUCCUGUCCAGAGCUGCGCCAGUGAGAGCCCAGCAGCGUCGGAAGGGUGACAGCGGCCACUCUGUCCUCUCUGUCCUGAGGAGCAGCCUUUGAGGAACAAGUCAAGAUCCUGAGGGCCUGGUUCGGUCCAAGGCAGCCUCCCUCGGCGCAGAGCCCCGAAGCCCUGACAUUCAUUCCGCCUCAGCUCCGUCUCUCCCCUCCUCCCCCUCCUCCUCCAGCCUCCACCUGAAAGGCCUAAUGGGGAGAAGACGAAAGGGAAAGCUUCCAGGUUCGCAGUUGCCUCCAGCCUUCAGCCGGUCUCCGGUGCAAAACCUCUCACCACAUCCAAGGAGAUUCUGGAGAGACAGCGCCUGGGAGAGCAGAUGCCCAGCCAGGGGACAAAGUGGCCGUGCAGCCACAGCCAGCACCCGGUCCUUGGAUGAGACCUGGGGGAGGGGACGGAGGCGAGGGCAGGCUAGGGAAGAGGGGGCUGAGACCCGCAA